GCUCUGAAGCUCAGUUCCCUUCUUUCCCUAUUCCUAUCAUGUGUGGUACUCCAUUUUAUAUGCGGAUGUUUCAGCAUUCUUUGAUAAGGGAUCCGAGAGACCCAGUAUACAAGAGCGUUAUCGGUAAGAUUGACCAAAAUUCCUCUUUCCUUGUCCAGCCAUUCCAACAGUUGAUAACAUUUAAGAUUUGCGAAUCUUUGUUUCUUUGUCCUCCUAUCUCAAACCCACUAUUUUCUCAUACAUCAUCACUAUGAACUAAGAUUUUGUAUGUAUUGAGAAAUGGUGUUUUUGAUGAAGUGAUGGUAAGAUAGGAAGAUGAGUAAUCAAAGUAUGGUCAAAUCUUGAUGUUAAAUUAAACUGGUGGGAUGCUUGGGCCAGGAAAGACGACUUAGGUCAAAAAAAGAAUAUGAUAAAUAUGCUCGCAAUUCCAAUCUACUCGGUUUGUUUAAUGAUGAUGAAUGUUGUAUGCUAUUUAUUAAAGAAGAUGCUCUUCAAUGAAGAAAUUGUUCCACUUGGCUUAAAAAAUCUGUCUCUAAAUUAACAAAAAGUUAGUUUUGCUUGUAGCAGGUGUUAACAAUUGCUGAGGAUAAGUGGUAAAAAAUUUAGAGUAACGGAUUUAUAGGUCCUCCAAGGAUGUAAUGCUCUUAAAGGGCACCCAGUGCACAAAGUAUCUUGCAUUCACGUAAGGUCUGGGAAGGAUCGCACCUCAAGGGGUGUAAUAUAGACAACCUACCAUAAUGCAUGCGUUAGUGGUUGCUUCUACGGCUCGAACUAGUGACCUACAGUCAUAUAGAAGCAACUUUACCGUUGUUCGAAGGCUACUCUAACGCAUGCAUUUUAGUUGAGAAUUUACCAUGCCAUUCUGUAUUUGGAGGAUGUUUACUAAACAAAGAGAGUUUCAAAGUUUACAGAAGGAUUUUAAAUAAUCACUUGGAGAAGGGCUAGGAGGACAUAGCAGAACAUUAGUUAGAGAUGAUGUUUUUGGAUUUUAGUUCAGUUGACGUUUGAGAAUUAGUUUGGUAGUAUUUUGCUGCAACAGAAGCAUUUUAUGGCUUUCUCUUUCAUGAAUAAUUAAUGGGUGAUUGUCCAUCUGCCGGUGCUUUUGUCUUUGUGUAUGGUUCGAGAGUGGGAGACUUAUGUCUUAAUUUGCCAUAAAAGACGAAUUCUUUAGCACUAGAAUAUUGAAAAUAUGAAAUGUGCCAGAAAAUAGUAGAAUAGAUACUGAGCAUUCAUAUAUUUGAUUCAAGUUUGGGAUUAAGGCAAAGUUGAUUGAAUGCACUGGUUUCACUUAAUUGAAGCCAACUAAUAUUAUUUGAACGUUUGUUAAUGGAUUGUAACAGUAGUGUUAUGUAGAGAACAGAAUAAUCAGAGCAGUAAAAGAUAUGACUUUGUUUGAAGUACGGUGCUGAGUUUUUAAAAUCUACGUCGGUUACUUACUACUACUGUGACCUGCAUUUGUCGGAAUGUCCAUCUUCUCCCUCUUUGUGGAGAAAUGGAGUUUUAUCCGAUCUCACCCUGUAGGUGGUUAAUCAUAGGCAGUAUUUGGUAUGGAUGGAUAUUUCAUAUGCUCCUUCUGUGGAUUUUUGAGAAUGGAGUCUUACAAUUCUGAGAGAACUUUAAGCUGGAACUGUUGUAUUGAAGAAGUCUUGUUUGGAUAACCACAUCUAUCAAAAGAUCCUCAAGAAGCACUUUAUCAUAUUACUCUGAUCGAGCUGCAAGCUUUUUCAUGUUCAUAAUCAAGGUCAAUUUUUGGUGCAGUUUGUGAUGUUUGGAUAUCUGUAGUUUCAACACACUUGCAGAGAUAUGUGCAUCUGCAUUUGAUUUUAUCUUCACUGCUAACUUAGCAUUAAGAUAAAUUCCAGGGCUGCAAUGGCGAGAAAUGCUCGGGGUACAAAAGGACUAGGACUUCUAUAUCCAUUUUUAUUGUAGCUGGUCUAUGCUGUUUCUUCUAUUUGCUUGGGAGUAUGGAAAAGAAGUGGCUUUGGGUAAGGAGAUAGUGUAGCUCUAUCUGUCACCAAGAUUACUGAGAGCUGCAAUAUCCUACCAAAUCUCAAUUUGAGACUGGUCAUGGUAGCCAAACUUCUAAUAUUGAUGAGUCAGCAACGGAAUUCAAAGAAUUUAAGCCAAGUGAUCCUAAAUACACCGAUUAUACACCCUGUCAAGAACAAAGGCGUUCUAUGACCUUACCUGGGUAUGAUCUACCAUGAAAGGCAUUAUCCAACUCAUGCAAGGAAGUUACAGUGCCUUAUUCCAACGCCUAUGGGAAUGUUACCCCAUUUCCAUGGCAAAAAGCCGCGAUUAUGUUCCCUAUGCCAAUUCUCCUAUGACAGUUAAGAAUGCAAUCAGAAUUGGAUUCAGUAUGAAGGUGUUUUAUUUUGGUUCCCUGAAGGAGGAUCACAGUUUCUACAAGGGACAGAUGAAUAUAUAUAUCAGUUUGCUUUAGUAAUCCCAACUCGAGUUGCGAGUGUAUGUACUGCUUUGGAUGCUGAUUUUUUGGGUAUGCCUAGUUCCAAACACCUUCAAUAUCAUUGGCUUGUUGCAUUCAAGGGUGUGACAUAGUGGUUAAUGAAGCAGACCGAGAAUCACGAUGUCUCACAUUUAAAUCUCAAUGGAAGCACAAAAUACUAGGUAAUUUCUUCCUAUCUACUUAAGCCUUGGUGCAUGGUCAGAGUUACUUGGUAUCUAUGCUGGUGGAAGGUAGCAGGUACUCGGAGAAAUAAUUGCGUUAUGGCAGCCUAAAUCCUAAAUACUCUCGUUUAUUAACAGAUGGGCAAUCUAGGAAUUGCUAAAUGGACUAUUUUCUGGAGUUUCUGCUGAGGCAUUUCUGGAAGACAGCAAGAAAUGGAAGAAACAUGCAAGUGCUUAUAAAAAUAUCAACAAACUCAUUGACACCACAGUGUUAUGGACAUGAACGCACGACUUAGGAGGUUUUGUUGUUGCACCACUGUCUCCAAAGUUGUGUAAAGUUAUGUCAACAAUAGCCAAGAAAAAAUUGGGAGUUAUCUGUGAAUGAGGGACUGAUCAGUAUCUAUCAUGACUGAUAUGGUCUUCUUUCAUAUGUUCUAUCAUAGUGUUAUCUAGGAUGCUUGUGGUGUUAAUUUCUUUCCGAUGCUUCUAGAUUGUUUUUUAUGAAUACUAGUUGUAUCUUGCUUUCCUUGAGUCGGGAUUUAUUGGAAACAACCUCUCUACCCCCACAAGGAUAGGGACAAGCAGACUAAUUUAUACUCAAAGUUAUCAA
Nicotiana tabacum (common tobacco) is the source of this 3238-nucleotide long non-coding RNA. RefSeq lists it as uncharacterized. Lineage: Eukaryota; Viridiplantae; Streptophyta; Magnoliopsida; Solanales; Solanaceae. The record is from RefSeq and is a predicted model, not a curated record.